RNAcentral lists this ribosomal RNA (253 nucleotides) under uncultured bacterium. RNAcentral's name for it is "partial 16S ribosomal RNA". It matches the Rfam family "Bacterial small subunit ribosomal RNA", at positions 524 to 776 of the family's 1533-position model. The record is from RNAcentral.
UACGGGGGGGGCGAGCGUUGUUCGGAAUUACUGGGCGUAAAGGGUUUGUAGGUGGCCUGCUAAGUCAGACGUGAAAUCCCUCAGCUUAACUGGGGAACUGCGUCCGAUACUGGCGGGCUUGAGGACAGGAGAGGAACGCGGAAUUCCAGGUGUAGCGGUGAAAUGCGUAGAUAUCUGGAGGAACACCGGUGGCGAAGGCGGCGUUCUGGACUGUUUCUGACACUGAAAAACGAAAGCCAGGGGAGCAAACGGG